Molecule: long non-coding RNA, 1035 nt
Filed under: Gopherus agassizii (Agassiz's desert tortoise)
Lineage: Eukaryota; Metazoa; Chordata; Testudines; Testudinidae
Description: lncRNA (ENSGAGG00000004614.1)
Source: RNAcentral
GUCUCCCCCUCCCCGCGGUUCGAUCCUGUCCGGUCCCUGCGCGAUGGCUCCGACCCUGAUGCUGGCGGCUCUGCUCUGCGCGCUGGGCCCCGCCGCCGGGAAGCUGUGGGACCAGGCUAGGGGGGCCUCAUACCCCGAUUACGAUGAGACUGGGGCAGAUGCCCCCCCCAGGACCCGGGCCCCGGCCCCACCCCAGCUGAGCCGUUACCGGACGGAUGGGGCCUACGAGAACCACCAGGACGAGCCGGGUGAUGAGGAGCCUGGGGAGAUGGAUGCAGAGAUGCUGAGGUACCUGGUGGGCCGGAUCCUCGCGGGGGGUGGUGAGAUGCGACCCCCCCGCCACCCCAGACGCCUGCGCCGGGGGCUGGAGGAAGAACCCCCCACCCUGCUGCGCGUGAAGCGGCUGGGGGGCGACGGGGAGGGCCCCGAGGCGGGAGCACCCCAGCUGCAGCGGGCCAAGAGGACGGAGGAAGAGGAGGAGGAGGCAGCUGUUGGGGGGCGGAGGGGGGCAUAUGGAGGGGAGCCCCUGCUGAGGUAUCUGCCUGAGUAAUGAGGACACCUCCCCCAGGGCCCAGUGAGUGCUAAUGCAGCGGGGGAGGGGCUUACGUCCCCCCUGCCCCGUCCAUCUCUGAAUGUAGCCAGCCUGUGGGCACGGAGGAGGGGCUGCCUUGCUCCUAGCCCCCCAGUCUCUGCCCCCCCAAUGACCCCUCCCUCUGCAGGCCGGCUUAUCUCUGGGCCCCAUGUCUCUCCCCCACAAGCCAACUGCCCCCCCCAUUAGGGUGACAGCUCGCCCCCGACAUGCUUCAAGACCCUUAUUCCCCACCCGGGCUCUGCCCCCCAGUGUCCCAGCUCUGAGCCCCUUAUUGUCCCCAGGGCUCUGGCCNNNNNNNNNNACCCUAGCUCUGCCCCCCACCCCCCUGGUUCCCCCUGCUUCCAUCAGUCCAUUCAGUAACGCCCUCCCCCCGUCUGUCCGUCUGGUGUUGAUUAAUUAACUAAUUAAAUAAAGGCUUGUCAGGUAUUUUGAUGUAAAGGCGG